CAAUAGCGUAUAUUAAAGUUGUUGCAGUUAAAAAGCUCGUAGUUGGAUAUGUGGUUUGCGGUGGGUUCCGGGCACUUGUUGUCCGAGUAACUUGCCGCUGCCAUCCUUGGGUGGAACCUGUGUGGCAUUAGGUUGUCGUGCAGGGGAUGCCCAUCGUUUACUGUGAAAAAAUUAGAGUGUUCAAAGCAGGCUUAUGCCGUUGAAUAUAUUAGCAUGGAAUAAUAAGAUAGGACUUUGUCGCUAUUUUGUUGGUUUGCGCGAUAAGGUAAUGAUUAAUAGGGACAGUUGGGGGUAUUCGUAUUCCAUUGUCAGAGGUGAAAUUCUUGGAUUUUUGGAAGACGAACUACUGCGAAAGCAUUUACCAAGGAUGUUUUCAUUAA
This 380-nucleotide ribosomal RNA is filed under the name uncultured eukaryote. RNAcentral describes it as "partial 18S ribosomal RNA". It matches the Rfam family "Eukaryotic small subunit ribosomal RNA", at positions 592 to 976 of the family's 1831-position model. The record is from RNAcentral.